GUGGGGAAUCUUGCGCAAUGGGCGAAAGCCUGACGCAGCCAUGCCGCGUGAAUGAUGAAGGUCUUAGGAUUGUAAAAUUCUUUCACCGGGGACGAUAAUGACGGUACCCGGAGAAGAAGCUCCGGCUAACUUCGUGCCAGCAGCCGCGGUAAUACGAAGGGGGCUAGCGUUGCUCGGAAUUACUGGGCGUAAAGGGCGCGUAGGCGGACAGCUUAGUCAGAGGUGAAAGCCCAGGGCUCAACCUUGGAAUUGCCUUUGAUACUGGCUGUCUUGAGUUUGGGAGAGGUGAGUGGAACUCCGAGUGUAGAGGUGAAAUUCGUAGAUAUUCGGAGGAACACCAGUGGCGAAGGCGGCUUACUGGUCCAUUACUGACGCUGAGGUGCGAAAGCGUGGGGAGCAAACAGGAUUAGAUACCCGUGUAGUCC
This 425-nucleotide ribosomal RNA is filed under the name uncultured bacterium. RNAcentral's name for it is "partial 16S ribosomal RNA". It matches the Rfam family "Bacterial small subunit ribosomal RNA", at positions 354 to 796 of the family's 1533-position model. The record is from RNAcentral.